RNAcentral lists this ribosomal RNA (375 nucleotides) under uncultured delta proteobacterium. Its description in RNAcentral is "bacterial SSU rRNA". It matches the Rfam family "Bacterial small subunit ribosomal RNA", at positions 521 to 896 of the family's 1533-position model. The record is from RNAcentral. Lineage: Bacteria; Deltaproteobacteria.
UAAUACGGGGGGAGCAAGCGUUGUUCGGAAUCACUGGGCGUAAAGGGUGCGUAGGCGGGCAGGUAAGUCAGACGUGAAAAUCCAAAGCUUAACUUUGGACCUGCGUUUGAAACUAUCUGUCUUGAGUACGGGAGAGGAAAGUGGAAUUCCUGGUGUAGCGGUGAAAUGCGUAGAUAUCAGGAGGAACACCGGUGGCGAAGGCGGCUUUCUAGCCCGAUACUGACGCUCUGGCACGAAGGCUAGGGGAGCAAACAGGAUUAGAUACCCUGGUAGUCCUAGCGGUAAACGUUGGGCACUAGGUGUUGUCUCUUAACCGGGGCAGUGCCGAAGCUAACGCAUUAAGUGCCCCGCCUGGGGAGUACGACCGCAAGGUUG